This 145-nucleotide small nucleolar RNA is filed under the name Ananas comosus (pineapple). Lineage: Eukaryota; Viridiplantae; Streptophyta; Magnoliopsida; Poales; Bromeliaceae. The record is from RNAcentral.
ACCAAUUCUGGGGGAGAAAAUGAAUGAAUCAGUUCCUCUCGGUGUAAUGGCUCGGGCGCUACACUAAUAACAAAUGUGUGGUUAUCCUGAUCUGUGGCUUUAUCUCUCUUGUGCCAUUCCGAUCCUGGAAACGCCACAUACACAC